GUGGCGGCGGGGCGGUCCUUGACCUCGUUGGUGAGGACGACGGACAUCACCGCGGUGCCGACCGAGCCGCCGGCC
RNAcentral lists this transfer RNA (75 nucleotides) under Virgisporangium ochraceum. Its description in RNAcentral is "tRNA-Leu". Lineage: Bacteria; Bacillati; Actinomycetota; Actinomycetes; Micromonosporales; Micromonosporaceae. The record is from RNAcentral.